This 251-nucleotide ribosomal RNA is filed under the name uncultured bacterium. RNAcentral's name for it is "partial 16S ribosomal RNA". It matches the Rfam family "Bacterial small subunit ribosomal RNA", at positions 93 to 354 of the family's 1533-position model. The record is from RNAcentral.
AAGCGGCGAACGGGUGAGUAACACGUAGGUGAUCUGCCCAUCAGACGGGGACAACGAUUGGAAACGAUCGCUAAUACCGGAUAGGACGAAAGUUUAAAGAUGCUCCUGGCAUCACUGAUGGAUGAGCCUGCGGCGCAUUAGCUAGUUGGUGGGGUAAAGGCCUACCAAGGCGACGAUGCGUAGCCGACCUGAGAGGGUGAACGGCCACACUGGGACUGAGACACGGCCCAGACUCCUACGGGAGGCAGCAG